AUACGGAAGGUCCAGGCGUUAUCCGGAUUUAUUGGGUUUAAAGGGAGCGUAGGCUGUUUUUUAAGCGUGUUGUGAAAUGUAGAUGCUUAACAUCUGAAUUGCAGCGCGAACUGGAAGACUUGAGUGCGCGGAAGGUAGGCGGAAUUCGUCGUGUAGCGGUGAAAUGCUUAGAUAUGACGAAGAACUCCGAUUGCGAAGGCAGCUUACCGCAGCGCCACUGACGCUGAUGCUCGAAGGUGCGGGUAUCGAACAGGAUUAGAUACCCUGGUAGUCCGCACAGUAAACGAUGGAUGCUCGCUGUUCGGCCUUUACGGCCGUGUGGCCAAGCGAAAGCGUUAAGCAUCCCACCUGGGGAGUACGCCGGCAACGGUGAA
RNAcentral lists this ribosomal RNA (374 nucleotides) under uncultured bacterium. RNAcentral describes it as "bacterial SSU rRNA". It matches the Rfam family "Bacterial small subunit ribosomal RNA", at positions 523 to 898 of the family's 1533-position model. The record is from RNAcentral.